GGCUUCACAGCUCAGUUGGUCGAGCAUCGCGCCGGUAUCGCAGAGGUCAAGCGUUCGAAUUCCGUUGAAGCCC
RNAcentral lists this transfer RNA (73 nucleotides) under Acropora cervicornis. RNAcentral's name for it is "tRNA-Thr". Lineage: Eukaryota; Metazoa; Cnidaria; Anthozoa; Scleractinia; Acroporidae. The record is from RNAcentral.